RNAcentral lists this ribosomal RNA (254 nucleotides) under uncultured bacterium. Its description in RNAcentral is "partial 16S ribosomal RNA". It matches the Rfam family "Bacterial small subunit ribosomal RNA", at positions 524 to 776 of the family's 1533-position model. The record is from RNAcentral.
CACGUAGGCACCAAGCGUUGUCCGGAUUUAUUGGGCGUAAAGAGCUCGUAGGCGGUUCAGUAAGUCGGGUGUGAAAACUCAGGGCUCAACCCUGAGCUGCCACCCGAUACUGCUGUGACUUGAGUCUGGUAGGGGAGUGGGGAAUUCCUGGUGUAGCGGUGAAAUGCGCAGAUAUCAGGAGGAACACCGGUGGCGAAGGCGCCACUCUGGGCCACGACUGACGCUGAGGGGCGAAAGCGUGGGGAGCGAACAGG